Long non-coding RNA from Syngnathus acus (greater pipefish), 544 nucleotides. RefSeq lists it as uncharacterized. The transcript has 2 exons. Lineage: Eukaryota; Metazoa; Chordata; Actinopteri; Syngnathiformes; Syngnathidae. The record is from RefSeq and is a predicted model, not a curated record.
UCAACACAGACAAUAAGACACAUUGAAGUUAAGUGACGUUACUUUUAUUUUUAUAUUUGAUACUUAUUGUAAAUUCUAAUUGUAGUUGUCUCCCUAACAAGGACUACGAAUGGAAAGUAGCUCAUAGCUAAAUCUGCUAUAUUUACACUGUGUAAUUUAAUUGUACAAGUGUUCAUUAAUUUGCAUUGUCAAAUAAACAAAUAAAGUAAAGUCAACAGCAAAUUUAAUCAGAGAUGGCUUUUUGUGUCCCUAAAAAAAAGGUGAUGCUUUUUUAAAAGUAUUGAAUUUGUUUUGCAGUACAUCAUGUUUUAGAGAUAUUUUAUUACUUUUUGUUUUUAAGUUUGACCUAUCAAAGCUUGUACAGUACACACUUUACAAUGCAUUUUAAUGUAUAACUAGGAGAAAAAAUGACUGUUGCUGAACCUAAAUCUUAAUUAAUAACUAGCCGAAAGUUGGGCAAGUUAUUUCCUGAAUGUUAUUAGAUUACUGUUAUACCACAAAGCCCCAUGUUUGCCAAAAUACAAGCCCUAGCAGCACAGAACAA